Molecule: ribosomal RNA, 492 nt
Filed under: uncultured bacterium
Lineage: Bacteria
Description: partial 16S ribosomal RNA
Rfam family: Bacterial small subunit ribosomal RNA
Source: RNAcentral
AGUGAACGCUGGCGGUAGGCCUAACACAUGCAAGUCGAACGGCAGCACAGUAAGAGCUUGCUCUUACGGGUGGCGAGUGGCGGACGGGUGAGGAAUACAUCGGAAUCUACUUUUUCGUGGGGGAUAACGUAGGGAAACUUACGCUAAUACCGCAUACGACCUACGGGUGAAAGCAGGGGAUCUUCGGACCUUGCGCGAUUGAAUGAGCCGACGUCGGAUUAGCUAGUUGGCGGGGUAAAGGCCCACCAAGGCAACGAUCCGUAGCUGGUCUGAGAGGAUGAUCAGCCACACUGGAACUGAGACACGGUCCAGACUCCUACGGGAGGCAGCAGUGGGGAAUAUUGGACAAUGAGCGCAAGCCUGAUCCAGCCAUACCGCGUGGGUGAAGAAGGCCUUCGGGUUGUAAAGCCCUUUUGUUGGGAAAGAAAAGCAGCAGGUUAAUACCCCGCUGUUCUGACGGUACCCACAGAAUAAGCACCGGCUAACUUCGUG